RNAcentral lists this ribosomal RNA (393 nucleotides) under uncultured bacterium. RNAcentral's name for it is "partial 16S ribosomal RNA". It matches the Rfam family "Bacterial small subunit ribosomal RNA", at positions 523 to 918 of the family's 1533-position model. The record is from RNAcentral.
AUACGGAGGAUCCGAGCGUUAUCCGGAUUUAUUGGGUUUAAAGGGAGCGUAGGUGGAUUGUUAAGUCAGUUGUGAAAGUUUGCGGCUCAACCGUAAAAUUGCAGUUGAAACUGGCAGUCUUGAGUACAGUAGAGGUGGGCGGAAUUCGUGGUGUAGCGGUGAAAUGCUUAGAUAUCACGAAGAACUCCGAUUGCGAAGGCAGCUCACUAGACUGUUACUGACACUGAUGCUCGAAAGUGUGGGUAUCAAACAGGAUUAGAUACCCUGGUAGUCCGCACAGUAAACGAUGAAUACUCGCUGUUUGCGAUACACUGUAAGCGGCCAAGCGAAAGCGUUAAGUAUCCCACCUGGGGAGUACGCCGGCAACGGUGAAACUCAAAUGAAUUGACGGGG